Molecule: small nuclear RNA, 87 nt
Filed under: Nannospalax galili (Upper Galilee mountains blind mole rat)
Lineage: Eukaryota; Metazoa; Chordata; Mammalia; Rodentia; Spalacidae
Source: RNAcentral
CUUGCUUCAUCAGCAACAUAAGUUGAAAUUAGAAUGAUACAGAGAAGAUUAGCAUGGCCCCAAAUUUACAAAGCAUUCCAUAUUUUU